This 498-nucleotide ribosomal RNA is filed under the name Triticum aestivum (bread wheat). RNAcentral's name for it is "partial small subunit ribosomal RNA". The record is from RNAcentral. Lineage: Eukaryota; Viridiplantae; Streptophyta; Magnoliopsida; Poales; Poaceae.
AUGCAGCCGUCGGGUGAAGAGAAUGGGGGCCCAACACCACCACUAAGCCCGAGUGCUACAACCACGGGUAGGGUGAACUCACUCGUCUCUUCCGCCGCCGCCGCCCAAAUGAAAGAGAGUGAGGACGGCGACCGCCGCCGCCGCAGCCCCCAAACCCACGCGAGUGAGGAGGCCGUCGGGUCAUCCCCAGGUUCUGGCGAGCCAGGAGGAAGCCAGAGUGGCUCGCCCCCGCCCCCGCCCCCGUUCCCAGAUCCGCGCCACUGGCGAGGGCGCUGGAGUGAUCUGCCUCCCGGCGGCGCUGGCCUCGCCGGUCGAAGACGACGACCUCCUGAGGGAGAUCCUCCUCCGUCUUCCGCGGCAGCCCUCCUCGCUCCUCCGGGCCUCCGCCGUCUGCAAGCAGUGGCGAUGCGCCGCCACGGACCCCAAGUUCCUCCACCGCUUCCGCCUCCAUCACCGGAAGCCGCCCCUCCUCGGCGUCUUCCACCAAGGCAAGGAUGA